GAGGAUGUAGCUCAGUGGUAGAGCUCUAGCUUGUCUUGUGUCAAGCCCUGGGUUCUAUUCCCAGCACCCCA
RNAcentral lists this transfer RNA (71 nucleotides) under Marmota monax (woodchuck). It matches the Rfam family "tRNA". Rfam says of the family: Transfer RNA (tRNA) molecules are approximately 80 nucleotides in length. Lineage: Eukaryota; Metazoa; Chordata; Mammalia; Rodentia; Sciuridae. RNAcentral also lists the same sequence under 1 other name. The record is from Rfam by way of RNAcentral.